GAAAGUUCAGUUUAGUUUGUUGACACUCCAUUAAAAUACAUAUGACUGUUUAUAACACUGAUUAGGCGUAGUACGAACUUGUUUCGAGGUUAAUUAUAUUCAAUGUGAUGUGAAGUUGUUAAUAAAGAUUUGCUGCAUU
This is a non-coding RNA of Bombyx mori (domestic silkworm), 139 nucleotides long. The record is from RefSeq and is marked provisional. Lineage: Eukaryota; Metazoa; Arthropoda; Insecta; Lepidoptera; Bombycidae.